This 10777-nucleotide long non-coding RNA is filed under the name Homo sapiens (human). RNAcentral describes it as "HSALNT0387365". Lineage: Eukaryota; Metazoa; Chordata; Mammalia; Primates; Hominidae. The record is from RNAcentral.
CCAUCCAUCCAUCCAUCCAUUCUUCCAUGGAUCUAUGCAUCUGUCCACCCAUCCCCUCAUUCUUUCAAUAUUUAUUGUGUAGCUAUUAUAUGUCAGACAUUCUUCUUUACUCUGCAUAUAUGAAAGAGAACAAGGCAUGAAAUUCCUGUUCUCAUGGAGCUUCUGUUCUACAAGAGGAAGGGAGAUCAUAAAAAUAGUUAACACACAAUACGAUAACUUCAGAGAGUGGUAUGUGCUCUGAAAGCCGUCCCAUUGGGCAACAGUACAGGGAGUGACCAGUGACAGGUGGGCAGAGUUGAGGAGGGCUUCUUUAGCGAAGGUGAUCAGGGAAAGCCUUGCAAAGGAGAUGAUAGUGAGACUGAAGUGAAAAGGAGACAGUCACAUGAAGGCCUGGGCAAGGGAGAACAUUCCAGGCAGAGGGAGCCACAGUGAGCUGAUGUCACUGAGGAGCCUCCAGCUAAGCAGCAGCUUGGAGACAGAGGGCCAAGCAGAGGCGAAUCAGACAAAAGCACACUCAAAUCUUGGCUCAGCCCUUUAGUAUCUGUGGGACAUGGAGAGAGGUGCUAACCUUCCAAGCUUUUACUUCUCUAUAUGUGAAAUGGAGACACUAAAACCUCACUCAUAGGGUGGGUGAAAAGAUGAAGUCGUAUACAGAGCAUGGUCCUUGGCAUGAGGUAGCUUAUCAAGCCCAGAUACUUCCAAAUCCUUCUGCCAAGUGAAAGUCAUCGUGCUUCUCACAUCAGCAUCCUAAGACAGGCAGGAAGAUUGAUCACCUUGCUUCUGGUAACCAGUUUCAGACUGACAUGUCUGCAUGAUUCCACCUUCAUUCCAUAUUUUAAAAAUGCACCAUGUACUCCCUUUAUUAAGCAUGUCACCCAGCUCUAGUUACUGUGAAACUAGAAGGUCACAGCUCAGCUCUGUGCUCAGAAAUAUGGCACCUGUCAGGUGCAUGAUUUAGGAACUUGGCCUUCCUCAGUGGGACCUCAGUGUAGUAAAAUCAAGUCAACGAUUCAAUCCAUGGCUGCUGAUAAAGACUGGGAGAAAUAUGAAGCUGCUGUCUUAGCAAUACACUUUUCAUUAGUGAACUUUUUUAGUAAGAUGACAUUGAAAUCCACCCCCCCAGCCUGGUUUCCAAAUAGCUCAGCACUGUAACCUGAAUAAGACGUGGUGACUCUGCUGGACAAAGACCAAAAGCCUUGCGAGGGUGUGGGACAGACAACAGGAUACAUCAGUGCAGUUGGCUCAGUUUUGCAAGGUUAGACUUCUCUCAUUUGAUUUCACUUACCUCUGGCUAUUUUCCUUUUCUUUGCCAGAGGAACACUGGCAAAUGUUUAACAUCUGAUUCUCUGGAGGUGGGGAAAGCUUGAAUUAAUAGUGUUUGUCUAAUUCCAUGAUAGAAGUAUUUCCAAUGUGGCCAGUUUCGAGUUACUCCCACGAUGUCACUGAAUGCACAGCUACAAAGAGAUGGUAACAACUGGCCCCUGCAAACUGCUAUGAAUUGGCUCUAGGGCAACACUGCUACACCAUCUCCCUACGAAUAACAGGGAUCCCCUUUGUGGGGUUGGACACUGUACAUAUGUAGCUGGCACUACAUGCAUGAUAUUUCAUAUAAUCUUAACUAUCAUUGUUUGAGGCUGGGAUUACUAUUGCCAUUUCAGGGAUGAGAAUAGCAAGGCUCAGAGAGAUUGUGUAGCCAGCAUCGGUUCACAUAAUUAGCAGGCAGCGAAGUUGGGAUUUGAAUACUGUGGGCACCUUUCAUGUGGCACACUCCUCCCCACUCUGAGUCCUCCUCUUUCUUCCCUGGGAAUGAGUAGCUUGCUUCCUAACAAGCUCCAGGGCUCCAGUGUCCCCUGGAUCCUCCCACAGUGCUCUUUUGCACAUGGACCCCUCCACUCCCAGUUCAGAAUGAAGUCCAGUUUACUUAGCUUGGCUCCAGGGUGCAGCCUGUACUUCCUCAUCCAAUCUCUCUACUCUAGCAAAAUGGGUUUCCCCACGGUCCCUAGAUGUGUGUGAGAUGGUUGACCUUCUUGCAUUAUCAGCUUCUCCUUAUUCCACUUAGAUGCAACGAUCUCAUUCAAACUCUGUCUUGUCCUGCUAGUCCUGCUAGCCCUGCUAAACCACUUGAGCCCCUGGAGUCUCUUCCUCCCUGGAGCUUCUACAGCAUUCCUAUCUGGACCAUUCGCCAGGUGGUUAACACUGGAAACAAAAACUAUGUUGUUUGCUGGUUUGGAUUUCUUACAGCUCCCAGGAGACCACAAGCUACUUGGAGGUAGGACCAAGUGGUGUACAUAACGACCAGACAGCCACAAAGAGUCCCUUGCUCAGACAGGUGUUCAGCAACUCUUCCCAGAGCAAAACAUGCCUGUCUUGCCCACUGCGGAGUAACUGCAAGGCAGCGCACUGCUCCUCUGGGGUCUCAGACCCAAUGGCAGCCUUACAAGAAUAAACUCAAGCUGUUUUAAAAAAUAUUUUUAAACAGCAAACCUCUCCUCUCUAAAUGACAUUUAAUUGCUUCAAAGAUCAAGAGAAGGCAACUUCUUUGUGGCUGGGCGUGCAAACAACCUGCGUUCUUCAGGGCUCUGGGUAUGGGUUACAAGAUUCAUCGUGACUCAAUUCUCCAAUCCACUGAGUUUUGGAGGACACAGGCAGUGUGUCACUGCAGAUGGACUGCCAACCCCCAAUUAAACUGUUCUGGAUGGCUACUGGUGGUGACCUUCAGGUGACAUUGGUCAAGCCUCAAAGGAGUGUGGCCACCCAACCCUAGCAGAGUUUGAGUGUGCCAGGUGCUCAUUACUGAACCCACUUCUCAGUCUACAUCAAACAACCAUGCUGGCCAGAAAUGGUGUGCUGAGUUCUGACGAUACAGAAACACCACACUACUGAUGAUACAGGUGCAUACAUGAAACCUCCUGGUGGCAGGAAGACUCGUUCCUGAGGGCCUGAUGGCUCCCACACCGAGGAAUGCUCUGCCAGAGGCCAGUCCAUUUCAGGCACAGUUAUAACCCACUCCAUAAAGGUUGUGCCAGGGAGAAAAUUAUGACAGGACCUUGCUUGAAAGAAGAGGCAGUCACAAGGCCCCAUGGGGCUUACCUUCCAGGAUGGACUGGCCCUGGGUUUGGGAUUGCAUCAAUUUCAUUUCUGGCUCUCAUGAGUCGGAUUCCCUCUUUUCUCAGAGUAUGGAAGCCAGUGGAGCGUGGCAAAGGUGUCUGGCACCCUGUCUUUGCUGCUUCCUGUGAAAACGAGAUGGUCUGCCUGAAAUGAUACAUUGGCUGUUUCAUUUCUGGGCUCCCCUUGUGUCUUUUUUUUUUAAAGACAGAGACGGGGUCUCACUAUGUUGCCCAGGCUGUCCUCGAACUCCUACGCUCAAGGAAUCUUCCUGCCUCAGCCUCCCAAAGAGCAGGAUUAUGAACGUGAGCCAUUACGCCCAACUUCCCCUAAUCUCUUGUGCUUGGCAUAAUGCUGGUAUGCAGUAGGUGCUCAAUAAAUGCUGACUUGGGUGUAAUAUUGAUGAACUCCAAAAAGCUUACUGGAGAGUGUGUGCAUGUGUGAGUGCACAUGUGUGAAUGUGUGUGCAUGUGUGUGCAUGAGUGCAUGUAUGAGUACUUGCAUGUGGGUGCAGAUGUGGGAGUGGUGUGUGAAUGUGUGGACAUGUAUGUGCAUGAUGUACACAUGUGUACAUGCACAAGUGUGUGAACGUGUGUGUGUGUGUGUACGUAUGUACUGGAUCAAGGUCAGGCAGAGCUGGCACUCAGAUGACCACCAGCACCCCGGUCCCAAAUUCGGCAGCAGCAACCAUUUGGUGCCUACCCUGUUCCCUUCUCAUUUAGUGCCAUCUUCACCAACCCGCCAGGAAGACAAGCUUGAUUCCAUCUUGAAUAUGAGGAAAAUGGAGGCUCGCUGAUGUGCAGUAGCCCUUGCAAGGCCUCACAGUGUGUGCAGGGAGAUGUAGAUUCCUACAGUGGAGUCUGACCCCACUGUCCCCUAUGCUGCAGUGCCUUCUGGGCAGAUGCCAGGCAUCAGACCAGGGAAAUUCUGCCCCACAGUGAGUGGGGCCAACUGACGCUGAUGUGAGUGUAUUCCAUAGUGGCUGUGUGUGAUGGAGAGGGAGUGGGAUUGGUACUCAGGGGCUUAAGGAAUGGCAUCUGGUAUAAUGGUAUCUGAGGACAUGGCACAGAACAUGGUAUGCCACAGCCUCCUCACCUUAUAAUGGAAGUAACCGUGCAUACCUCCUAGCGUCACCGUGGGGGUUUAAAUUCUUACAUGUGAGGUGUGUAUAACUGCACGUGGUAUGCAGGAAGCGCUCGGUAGCUACGCUCCUAGUACAUCCUCAUAAGCGAACACUUACUAAUCUAGUUGUUGUGCUGGAAAAUGUGGCGCUGGAAAAGACCUGGAGCUUGACCAUGACACAGACAUUCAGGCUACGGAUCCUGUGUCCACCGUUUACUGAGAGGGCCGUGGGUGAGUGACGUGGAGUGUGGCGUAACCUCCCCAUGUCGCCCUCUCCUAGUGCAGAAAUUGGAGACAGUGGGGGAUCCCUCACAGGGUUGCUGGGAUGACUGAAUGAGGUAAUAGACUUCACAGAUCCCACAUAGGGUCUGGUACGCAGUGGUCCCUCAACAGUGGACAGACAUUAUUAGGAUCUGGUCAUAUUCUGAGAACAAAGCUUGACAAGUUCUGGAAUCAAAUGUCAUUGUCAAAUGUGCCUGCUCAAUGCAAUUCUACUUGGCUACUGGACUCUCUGCAAUAAUUUGUCUGAAAGAGAGGCAGAAGCCCCCAAGAGAUGAAUGGGCUGGUUUUAAGGAGAGAAUGAUUUUAAGAGGCAUUGAGGGUGCCCUGGAAGCCAUCCCCCUACAGUGCAUAUCAGGCCAAAUGCACCUGUCAGCACCUGCAUUCCUUUGCCAGAGAACUUGCACCAGCAGCCAAAGGCCUUUGCUCAUCUAUGCAGCAGGCUGAAUGCGAUGAGAAUCAGCACCUCUCUCAGGAGCAACCCUCACCCAAUGACUGGGGUACUUAUACCUCAGCUCCCUUGCUCCCCAUGAGACAAGAAGAAUACAGGGUGGUCAUAGAAGAAUAGAAAAUUCCAGGCAGUAGUUUCACAUGAUUAGCAAAAGGAAAAUGUUGAAAUAGCUGCAGAAGCUAGGGGCUGAUAAGACCCUGAAAAAACAAGAGUGUGGGCCAAGCUGGCUAAGACCAACUGGACCCAUCGUGGUGGUGGAUUUCACUUAGGUUUUCCCUAGGACCUCAAUAUAUGCUCGUUAACAUACUAUAUCACACACCCACCGGCACCUCGAUGGUUCCAGGAACACCCAUAUUUGGUGCAAAAAUGGGUGACACCUCAGUUAUGAGAAAUCUCCACCUUUUUCCAGGAAUCUUCAUGAACAUUCCACUGCUUGGUUAAAGAAAUCCAUAGAGGUAGCAACCCCAAUCCCCCUUGAGAGCGAUUCCUUCACUCUUGAAAACGCUCACACUCACCUUUCUUGAGUGUAUACUUUUUGCUUUGCAAUAAACCAUACUUUCACUAUUUUCUGACUCAUUCUUGAAUUUCUUCUCACAGUCAAGAGCCUGGACAAUGACUGGGGUCAAGGACUCACUGGCGUUUGGGGACCUCCCCCAGCCUACGAUAUUACUUGGAUGGAAUAAGCCCAGGAGUGUGUUCCUCUGGGAUUCAGCUCCUGUACGCAUAGUGGUGGCUGGAUGGACAAUGCAGAGUGUGUGGGCUGUGUUCCUCUCCUGUCCCACUUCCUGCUCUCCCGCUGGUAUUUUAUGGGAUUUUCUGCCAACUAAACUAUUUUCACCCUAACCCUUGUCUCAGCAUCUGCUUCGGGGGCAAUCCAAAGUAAGACUGUCCAAAGUAAGACAGUCACAGUCAUGUUAAUAGAAUUCCCACCAGACAGCGGUUGAUUGUUCCAGAGGCCAAUGCCCAGAGCAGCAGGAAGUGACUUCAUCAAGCCAGAGUGGUGAAUUAGUUCCAGUUGUUUUUCCUGAGCCUCUCAACAACAGGAGAGGCAAGCAGAGCACAGUAGGAACUGAAUGGGGUUUGCGUGAAAGAAAAAUCCAGGGAAAGGUGUCCUGCAGAACGUGCACGGACCUGACCCGAGUCUAAGCUUGUAAGGGGCUUGGUGCAUGGGAGUUGGAGAACCAUCUCGGUGUUCAUAUUCUGGCAUCGAAAUGAGAACAUGAGUGCAUUUUAUUGUAUCUUUGAGGCAACCCUGGAGGCUACACCUUGAAGAGGCAGCCUCAUGAAAUGGAAGGUGCCAAGGAUCUCUGAACGUUAUGGAGCAGAGCCAUCCCACCCCACCAUCUGCAGUUCGACUGUAAUAGGAGUGAGCAAUGUAGUUUUGUGUUAAGCCAUUGAGAUUUGAGGGGUUAUCUAUCACAGAAGCUAUUAUUACUUAUCCUAACUAGCACACUCAUGAGCAAUUACAAAAUACAGUGUGAUGGAAGCUAUGCCAAGUGAGUACCAAGGAGGGUAUCCAAGCCUCUGGAAUACGUCAGAUUUUUGUAUUACACCCCAAGGAAAUGAUGAGGAAAGGUUCUUAGCACAAGGUAUAUUUGGGAUGAUUCUUGACAGAUUACAAUAAUAGUUAAUAUGUAUUGGGUUCUUUCUAUGUUCCAGACACUGUGCUAAGAGCUUUGCUAGAUUAGCCUAUUUAAUCCUCUAGGUAUUAUCUCCCUUUACACCUGGAGAGAAUGAGGUCUGGAGAGGUUAAGUAACUUACCCAAAGUCCCACAACCCUCAAUGGCAGAGCUGGACAUCAACCUCAGUGUUACUCUGCUGCCAGCAAAUACGCAGACAUUAGCCAGGCAGCUGUUAUUUGGAGGGAGAGAGGGCAGAGGAAGCAAACUGGGCAGAGGCACAGAGAAGGGCUGAUGUGCGAAAUACCUAGCAACCCAGUAGCAGGAGUGCUGGGCAAUUGGUGGGUGCUGACCGUGGUGCUGAAGUGGGGCUGGAUCGUAGUAACGUCCUGAGGAAGAAGAGAGGAUAAGGGCGCAGGGGUUGUUGGGUGGCGGUCAGGGUAGAAACCCUAGCACAGAGGCAGAGAAGAACCUGACACAUUUGGGGAACCACCAGAUGUUGGCAAAGGCAUGCAGAGACUCCAGGGUUUUAGUUGUAGCUCAAACAGAUAUAGCUUCAGUCUCCCACACGGCGAAAGCAUGUUCAGUCAACUGUGCCAAGAGGACAGCUGUGCAUGGGGUACGGCCUACGACCGGAUGUGGCCUCUAUGACUGGCACACAGAGUGCACCGCAUGGAUACGUGUGGACCGAAUGAAAUGAUGAAGGAAACAUACAAAUAUGUCAUUUAGAAAAGAAAUGAAUUGGGAGCGCUGCAUCCAUCAUCAGACUUCUUUAUGCAGCCACCCGAUGGCCCCAUUCGGCUGCCCUCUUGCUUUUUCUGUUCCUAAACAUCCUGACACUGAGUCUCUCAUCUUUUCAGGGACUGAGAGUUUUAUUCUGGCUCAGUCGUUUCAGCCAUCACAGAAUUAAGUAAUGACAAAGUGAAUUAUCAUCCAGCCCUGGCUUCGGCAAGGAAUGUAACCUGCAGCCGAGAUCCCUCACUGCUGGAGCACUCACACGACUGUCUAGGUAGUGACAUGAAAAAUGUCCCUAGAAUCCCCCAGCUCAGGGCCAUACAUCCUCAGAGUCUCGACUCCACACUUGGUGGGGAAGAAUGUUGUUUUAUUGAGAAGGGGAAGAGGGUGUAAAUAGAUUCCUCUUAAACAUUACAUUCAUCCUUGUUAAUCAAAAAUUAGUAGCUCUUAAAAAAAAUAAACACAACUCAGCUCCCCAGGAAGCUGAUAGUAGUUCCCGUGGCCCGUUUAAUUACACAAAAUGAAACAAAACAUAUUCCUCUACUCCUCGCCUGUGGAAUUAACAAAAUGAAAUAUAAUGGUGGCCAUAUCUGGGCAGUGGGAUUAAAGGUGAUUUUUAAUUUACUUCUUUAUGCUGCUCCAUGUUUGUUAAUUUUUUUGUGACGAGCAUGCAUUGCUCAUAAAAAAGUACUUCAAUGUGUAAAAAAAGGAAAUAUGGGAUUGCAUUCCCAAAACCUGUAAACAAAAGAAAUAUAUGUACACCUGUUGCAACUUUUUAGCAGUUCACCUGCCCAUUCUCUGAUCAUUCCCCAAGAGGAAGGCCAUGUUUUCCUGAUUCCCACUCUGUCCCUAACAACAGUGCCUGGCACAUAGUAGGUGCUUAUUAAGCAGCUGCUGAGGCAACUGAAAAAUAGCUAUUUUUAAUCGGGAGAAAAAUGGCUAUUUAACAACCAUGGGUUUCUAAAGACAGAGAGCCCUUUUGGUCUUCUGGCAUGUUUCCGUCUGUUAAAAGGGAAUCUGAAGUUCUUUCGAGGUGGGGACUGCAUAGAAUUGAAUCUUUCUGCAGAAGGUCUUUGUCUCUGUGUAACUGGUGACACAGGUGACAACACGGAUGAAUCCCACAAUAAUUGUGCUGAGCAGAAGGAGCCAGACAAAAAAGAGGGCAUACUUUAUGAUUCAAUUUAUAUGAAGCUCUACAAAAUGUACACUAAUCUACAAUGACAGAAGGCAGAUCAGUGGUUGCCUGGGGCUGAGGUAAAGGAAAGGAGGGGCAGAAAGGAGGAUGCCAAAGGAGUCCAGGACGUUUCUGAGGAUGCUAGACACAUGCACGAUCUAGAUCACGGUGAUAGCGUCAAGGGAGUGCACAUAUGUCAGAACUCAUCAACUUGUGCACUUUUGCAUGUCAAUCACAUCUCCAUGGAGCUGUUUAAAAAGAGAAAGUGCAGAGGAGAGGGAGAAAUUGGAGAGAAGAGUCCCAAUAUGUGCUGAGGCUGGGUACAUGCUGGGAUGAUGUGCCUUGUGAGAAAUACAGACGGAUGGGAUGCUGAGAAGGAUGGAAAAUCGAGGGCUUUCCAGGGUCUCAGGUUGAAGUUGUUUGAUGUGAUGUGAUGUAACUGCCCUUUCCAUGCCUCUAAACAUCCUCAGUGAGUUAGAUCACAUGCAACCAAUUCUGAUGACAGUGAGUGUGUGUGUAUGUGCGUGUGCACAUACACGUGUGUGUGCAUAUGUGUGCCAAGGGAGGACUGGGGAGAAGGGCGACAUGGGAUGCCACAGGCUGGCACAGGCAGGAGAUUGAGACAGCUAAGAAAUGGAACUAGCUUGCAGAAGUGGAAGCUUGAAGCCAGAUGUGACCUCUGGAAAGUCAAGGCUUCCUUCUCCAAUCCUCUGGAAUUUGCAGAAAUCUUGGGAAGCCUCUGGGCUGCUACGGGGCAUGCAGUCAGGACUUAUCAACUUAUCACAUAUUUAUUUAGUUCUCAAAGGCAGGCAGAUCCCAGCUGACAUCUGGAUGCUGCUCCCACACUCAGUGGCUGUUUGUUGAACAAAUGCAGGAAUAUUAUUUUGAUUUGUUGACAGAAAAACAACUGGUGCUAUUUUGAAUAUUGGCAACAGGAGGCAGAAUGAUGAUGAAUGGGCUGCCACUGGGGCUUAGGUCACCUUUCAUCUGGUUAGCAUGUUUCACAAUGCCCGUGCUUUGGGGGCCAUGUCUUAUAAGUCAUGCAUUUAGCAAACAUUGGCCGAGGGCUUGUCACGGGGCAGGCACUACACAAGAUGUUGAGAGGAAACCACUGGAUGAGAUUCAGGCCUUCCCCUAAAGAGCUCGCAGCACAGAGUAGAACACACACAAAUGAAGAUACCAUAAUGCUGGUAGGGGUGUACCAUGGGGGUUGGCAAACUAUGGCCCAUGGGCCAAAUCUGGCCCUCUGACUCCCUGUGUCAACACAGUUCUAUUGGAACACAGCCAUGCCUAUUCACAGAUGUGGCAGCUUUUGGAUUACGAUGGUCGAGUUGAGUAGCUGAGACACAGAUUGUGUGGUCCAUAAAACCUAUAUUGUUUAUCAUCUGGCCCUUUAUAGAAGAAACUUGCCAACCGUGCUCUAACAGAAGACAAUACAGGGCAAGACGCUGGACUGAAGUAAGAAGGUUGGGGUUACUGACCCGGCUUGUUAGCAAACCCAGCUCUCAGUGUUCCAGGCUAGAUCAUAAGAUCAGUUAGGGCUAAGCAUCCUCCUCAUACCGCCUGUGUGAGUUAGCAAGAAGCAGAAUGGACUUCCAAGAGCAGCCCCUGUCUGCCCAGGAGGAAGCACAAAACAGAUGCUCCUGGCCGCAUCAACUUUCCAAGAAAGCAGUGUCUUGAGAGCCUCAGCACUGGGAACCAGGCAACACCAUCUCCCCAUGGUGGCCUCAGGGAGGUUCAUCAAAGCCAACGGUGCCUAGUCAGUGACACUGGGAGAAAGUAAAGAAACAGAAGCAGUUUCUUGUAUCUUUUUAAGCCCAAAGGGGAGGCCCAAACCAAGGAAGUGCAUCAAAUAAUAAUUAAGUGAAGAUAUUUAAUUAGCAUUCAUUUGCACUCUUUAUAUUAAAGUCAGUCCCUGAUGGAAAUCCUUUGUUAUCCUUUGCAAAGACAUAUUAAAUAUUAACUCCUGAACAGGACACACUACAGUCCUGUACAGUACAGCCUGGUUAAAAACUGUCUUUGGAAAUAAUUUAUUUGCAAUUCAUUCGUUAACUAACAAACAUGUAUUGAGUGCCUAUUAUUUGCCAGGCCCACUUGAAGACCAACAUGGUCCGUGCCCUCAAGGGGUUUACAGUUUAGUGUGGGGAGACAGGUAGUGAAUGUUCAGGCAAGCAAGCACACUUGAUCUUUGUUACUCACCAUAGCUAUGUCCUAUAAAACUACUGUAGGCUGGGUGCAGUGGCUCACGCCUGUAAUCCCAGCAAUUUGGGAGGCCGAGGCGGGGCAGACCAC